Molecule: ribosomal RNA, 175 nt
Filed under: Ferruginibacter sp.
Lineage: Bacteria; Pseudomonadati; Bacteroidota; Chitinophagia; Chitinophagales; Chitinophagaceae
Description: partial 16S ribosomal RNA
Rfam family: Bacterial small subunit ribosomal RNA
Source: RNAcentral
GUCUGACCCACUGGAAACAGUGAGGGUUAAUUGAAUACAUAGGGAGCAAGCGUUAUCCGGAAUGAUUGGGCGUAAAGCGUCUGUAGGUGGUUUAAAAAGUCGACUGUCAAAUACGUUGGCUCAACCAACGGCAGGCAGUAGAGUACUAUUAGACUAGAGUUAGGUAGAGGUAGAG